This 75-nucleotide transfer RNA is filed under the name Bacillota bacterium. RNAcentral describes it as "tRNA-Gln". It matches the Rfam family "tRNA". From Rfam's summary of the family: Transfer RNA (tRNA) molecules are approximately 80 nucleotides in length. Lineage: Bacteria; Bacillati; Bacillota. The record is from RNAcentral.
UGGGGUGUAGCCAAGCGGUAAGGCAUCGGUCUUUGGAAUCGACAUUCGUAGGUUCGAAUCCUGCCACCCCAGCCA